This 253-nucleotide ribosomal RNA is filed under the name uncultured bacterium. Its description in RNAcentral is "partial 16S ribosomal RNA". It matches the Rfam family "Bacterial small subunit ribosomal RNA", at positions 524 to 776 of the family's 1533-position model. The record is from RNAcentral.
UACGUAGGCAGCGAGCGUUGUUCGGAAUUACUGGGCGUAAAGAGUGUGUAGGCGGUGCUCUAAGUUCGGUGUGAAAUCUCCUGGCUCAACUGGGAGGGUGCGCCGGAAACUGGAGUGCUUGAGCGCGGGAGAGGAAAGCGGAAUUCCUGGUGUAGCGGUGAAAUGCGUAGAUAUCAGGAGGAACACCGGUGGCGAAGGCGGUGGGCUGGGCCUGUACUGACGCUGAGGAGCGAAAGCGUGGGGAGCGAACAGG